Molecule: long non-coding RNA, 2563 nt
Organism: Oreochromis niloticus (Nile tilapia)
Lineage: Eukaryota; Metazoa; Chordata; Actinopteri; Cichliformes; Cichlidae
Exons: 3
Source: RefSeq, a predicted model, not a curated record
GUCCUAAAUGCAGUUAGAAUUUAUUUAGAACUACAAAUUAAAUUUCUUUUAGUAAUAAUUGUUUUUUAAUGUCACAAUUCCAACCCUGCUCCUUUAUCCGGGUUUGGACCGGCAAGAGUGACCCGAAAUUGGCACGACUGCGUUACAGUCAGUGCGGGAGCAGCGGCUUCGCUCUUGCGCGAUUCAUUUGCCGUUUGGAGGCAUAGGUGUGAACGUCUCCUGCCCUGAUAGCAGCUGGGGGAGGACUAUCCUCCGCCUGUGAGCGCUUUGGCACGGGUGAAGUGCCCAUGGCAGCGCCGCUGCUUGUUGAGAAGACUCAAAGACACACAAGACCCAGUAAAAGAGCCUGAGAGGAGUUCAGAAGCGCUCCCAUAAAAGAUGCAGGGACUGCAGAGAAGAUCUCCAUGACUCUGACAGAGAUUUCAGUUUUCAUGAAGAAAUAGGACAUGGAGCUUCAGCUGAGAACAGAGAAAGAGAGGGGAAGAGGCUGCCAUCACAGGGUUACGGUUGCAGAGGAGAAAUGAAGGGCAUGGCUUUUCAAGACUGCUAUGUCUGAAAAUGGUCUCUAUUUAUAAAGGCAAUUUCAGAACACCACAUUUUUGACUGUGGGAUGUUUAUGGACCCGGAAUCCAGAGAGUUAUCAUGGCGUGUGCAAAUUCUUUUACGUAGCCCAGCUUAAAUUGCAUUUAAAGAAAGAAGAAAAAAAAAAAGUAGGCAAUUUCAGAAUACCUGUUAGUUCCCACCAGAGUUAAGAGCACAUCUCUGGGUUAUCAUUAUAACAGACUACCUGAACGUGUCACAUUCCUUUUGUCCUUGCUUUAAUUUUUCUUGGACUGCUGGCACUGGGACCGGGCCAUGGAGAAGCAGAAGAAGAUGGAUGGAAUUUGAGAUCAACACAUUUUUGACUGUGUGAUGUAUUUAUUCUGCAUUAAAAUGGACCAAGCACCUCCAGCUCUCCCUCCUAGGUCAACAAAGGCACCCAUCUUCCACCACAAACAACAGGAAGGCCGACACUAGAAGAAGCCUAACAUGACAAAACAACAUGAUCUGGUACCUUGUGCCUUUUUAGUGACACUAUAUCGGUGUGUAGUAUCACUGCAAAAUAUAUGAGUUUAAGACAAAACUGCUGUCAACGAUGGUGAAACUCUACAUUUUCAUGGUUUAGUUUAUAACAUGCAGUCUGUCCCCUGAAGAAACCAUCCCUUAUGCCAUUUUGUGGCCAAGUUGCUGUCUCUGCCUGCUGUGAAGUGCACACACUGGGAUCCUAUAUUAAUGUAAUUCUAGUCUCAUAAAUCAAAUUCAUGCAGCCUGGAGAUGAAAAGUUAGGCAAUCUGGGAAUGUGUUUGGGAUAUUUUUGCACCAGCAUGUUAUUUCUUUUCUUCUUCUUUUUUUUAUUCAUGCAUACAGCCAUAUGUCAGCACUCAUGUUUUUGUUUGUUAUUUGGGCCAUACUGCUUGGACCUUCUGGAGCCGGAAAGGUGACUCGUGGCCCUCAGCUCGGAGAGAAAUACUGCAUUUGACACCCAUUUCUAAACUGCUGAACCACUUUUGUGAAGGUGCUGGAUACAGUUUGGCUGUGGCACUCAACUUCACUCAGACCAAAACAGAAAUGCCAAAAAAACAGAGCUCCAUAUCUGCCUUUUUCACAGCUCCUCGGAGAGUUCUCAAUAAGAUGUGCACUUGUGAGCCACCAAACAUGGAUUCAGUGCAGCCUCUUUCAUCAUCAUACCGAAUUUCCCAGAGGAACCCACCCGAGGGAUUAAUAAAGUUUUAUCUUAUCUUAUCUGACUCAGCUACACCGACAGCCACAGCGUCAGGGAAAAAACGAGGGCGGAUUGUUGGUCUUGAAAACUCCGACUUUGAGCCCGUUUUAGUUGACGAGUGUAAAAUUAGAAAUGUGACUGAGAAGGAAACAGAAUUAUGGCAGGCACAUUCAGAAAACCAUUCAACUUUACAAAAUGUAUACUGUGAAUCUGAAGAAGAGAAGCCUGGAAAGUGUGAACCACCACAGAAUAAGAGGAGGGUCUCUGAUGCCACCUUUACACAAGAUGACAGUCAACCUCUACCACAGACGUGGAGUCAGGACCCUGUUCACUUUCAGUCAGUACACUGAAAAUGAGUUUCAUCAGACUAACCACAAAUGUACGACAGUCAAGAACUUCAGCAGCUCUGAGCCAAGUUUCCUAAACAGUCUGCAGUAUGAGGAGGACGAAGUCUUUAGAAAACUGAUAGCUGCAGAAGGACUAACCUCAACUCAAAAAUCUUUAAAACGCCUUCAUUCUUCUCAUAUGAUUAAUGAGAAGGAAAACGGGACGCCACUGUCUUAUAAUUCCCCAGGAAAAAUCUCCUGUUUCUCUCAUUUCAGACCUGUUUCAAAUCAUAAGCAGACACAACCAAAAACCGCUUCAUGUCGGAAACAAACAGGAUGCAUCUUAAAGGCAUGCGGGGCAGAGGAGAUGAGCGGAAGAGGAAACAGAUAUGGAGGACAGAUAGCGCCAUCGAUAUGUUGCUCAUCAAUGACCAACAAUUAGCAGAAAUCUGGCAACGGACAGUUGGCAAAAGAC